RNAcentral lists this ribosomal RNA (497 nucleotides) under uncultured bacterium. Its description in RNAcentral is "partial 16S ribosomal RNA". It matches the Rfam family "Bacterial small subunit ribosomal RNA", at positions 28 to 507 of the family's 1533-position model. The record is from RNAcentral.
GAUGAGCGCUGGCGGCGUGCCUAAUACAUGCAAGUCGAGCGAACAGAUGAGGAGCUUGCUCCUCUGACGUUAGCGGCGGACGGGUGAGUAACACGUGGAUAACCUACCUAUAAGACUGGGAUAACUUCGGGAAACCGGAGCUAAUACCGGAUAAUAUAUUGAACCGCAUGGUUCAAUAGUGAAAGACGGUUUUGCUGUCACUUAUAGAUGGAUCCGCGCCGCAUUAGCUAGUUGGUAAGGUAACGGCUUACCAAGGCAACGAUGCGUAGCCGACCUGAGAGGGUGAUCGGCCACACGGGAACUGAGACACGGUCCAGACUCCUACGGGAGGCAGCAGUAGGGAAUCUUCCGCAAUGGGCGAAAGCCUGACGGAGCAACGCCGCGUGAGUGAUGAAGGUCUUCGGAUCGUAAAACCCUGUUAUUAGGGAAGAACAAAUGUGUAAGUAACUAUGCACGUCUUGACGGUACCUAAUCAGAAAGCCACGGCUAACUACGUG